AAGUCUUGACAUAUUUUGGAAGCACUUAGAGAUAAGUGCCUAUAUCUUCGGAUAACUGAAAUACAGGUGGUGCAUGGUUGUCGUCAGCUCGUGUCGUGAGAUGUUGGGUUAAGUCCCAUAACGAGCGCAACCCCUAUGGCUAGUUACCAUCAUUAAGUUGGGGACUCUAGCAAUACUGCCGGUGACAAACCGGAGGAAGGUGGGGAUGACGUCAAAUCAUCAUGCCCUUUAUGACG
Molecule: ribosomal RNA, 236 nt
Filed under: uncultured bacterium
Lineage: Bacteria
Description: partial 16S ribosomal RNA
Rfam family: Bacterial small subunit ribosomal RNA
Source: RNAcentral